CAGGCAAUGUUUUCCAUGAGCCUGUUCAGUGCUACCCGCAGGAUUCAUGUGCAGGACCCCUACCCUCUGACACAUACACGCACAUCUACAGGCAAUGUGGUCCAAUCCCUAACUGUCCCGGGCCAGCAGGCAGCCUCUGUUGGAGAAUCUGGGACGUGAAUCGAAGACCUGGAGCUGGACAAGGUGAUACCCCUAGUGUGACCGAGUCUGGACAAACACUUGAGGCUUUCAAAGCAUUUGACAAGCAUUCAUGAAUGCCCCUAACAGCAAACAGCGCCUUCCUGUCAAAAGGGAGAUUCUGCAUUGACGAUUGCGCUUCGCUGGAUAGCCCAGAGAGCAGGAGCCAGGACACCCAUCUCAUGGACACCACCGAGGCCAUGGACCAUGCGGCUGUGUCCACUGCAUCUGAAGCGGCUUGCAGGGAUGCCCUCGCAGUUGCUGCCCCUUCCUCCAUGAGAGCCUUAAACUCCUUUUUAUCGUGCUCCCAGAGGGAGUCCUCAAACUUGGGGAGGGAUCCCCAGAGAUUAAACUCCUAGUGCUCCAGGAGAGCCUGAUGGUUUGCUACUCUCAGCUGGAAGCUUGACGAUGAAUAAAUUUUUCUCCCGAAAGCA
Long non-coding RNA from Trachemys scripta elegans, 611 nucleotides. RefSeq lists it as uncharacterized. Lineage: Eukaryota; Metazoa; Chordata; Testudines; Emydidae. The transcript has 2 exons. The record is from RefSeq and is a predicted model, not a curated record.